AUGAUAAAUAUUCAAGGAGUCUUCCAGAGCGCAGAUAAGCAAUUGAAAAACACCUACCUAACGCUAGGACCAUGUAGUGCAAGCAGAAUCACAGGCCCUGGUAUCAAAAAGGGAAGAGCAAGUGAACAGUUGUGUGACUCCGAAUCCACAGAUGACAACUGCAACAUAUUUGGAGCAAUAAAUUACUGGCUGCUUUAAGAAAUGGGACUGAUUCAACAGCGUAUCCUGGAGUAGUAAUAGAAGCACUAAAAUCUAUCUUUCUACCUCCGAGGGGUUUGUUUUAAAGGUUUAGAUUGCAACAAUAAACAUUCUUUUAAUCCUACA
Molecule: long non-coding RNA, 324 nt
Filed under: Vulpes vulpes (red fox)
Lineage: Eukaryota; Metazoa; Chordata; Mammalia; Carnivora; Canidae
Description: lncRNA (ENSVVUG00000014611.1)
Source: RNAcentral